AUGCAAGAAGGUUUCUCCUGGAAUAGCUUAGCUUGUAGCGGGCUGAUGCUGUUUUCUGAAGGAUAUAUUAUGUGUGUUUGCUGUGAAUUGCUUGGAAGACAUAAUCUAACAUCGUUGCGUUUGUCGUCGUUGUACUCCAUAAGUCACAUUUUAUUUUAUGAAAGAGUUAUAUUUUAUGAGAAGCGUAACUCGUUUGAGCUGCAGUGUUGGCACUACUGCUUUGUCCAUCUUGAACGUGAGAUGGUUUCAGUGCAGAAGAUUGCUCAAUUAUGUGUCAUUCCAAACUUGGAUGUUAUGGUUGGAAUUACAGAGGGUCAGCUCAUGCCCCCUCCGUUCCAAAAUACUCCCUCUGUCCGGAAUUACUCUUUGGAGAAAUUCCGUCUGUCCGGAAUUAUCGGAGAAAUGAAUGUAUGUAGAGGGAAAAGCAGAGAGUACCUUCCACAGGCCAUCAUUUAA
RNAcentral lists this ribosomal RNA (456 nucleotides) under Triticum aestivum (bread wheat). RNAcentral describes it as "partial small subunit ribosomal RNA". The record is from RNAcentral. Lineage: Eukaryota; Viridiplantae; Streptophyta; Magnoliopsida; Poales; Poaceae.